GACGUGACUCCGGCACGGGAAGGAAGCGACACCGGCCCGGGAAGCGCUCCCGGGGGGAAAAGGGGUUGGCCAGAGAAAGUGAAAGUGUAACAGUAGUAACAGCAGCAAUGAAAUGUCUCCCUGUGGAUUUUCUCUCAAGGCAAGAAGAGCCUCUCCUUGUAACAUCCUGCAAGCCUCACCACUUGGAAAAAAAUUUACAAUUUGAAAGAAAAUGGGGGAAAAGACUGAGUGUGAGGCUCUGCUACGGUCUUCAAAUGAAGAGCUUUUUUGGGCUAAUGAUGAGCUUUGCAAUGGUGGUAUUUCACUCAGUACUUCACUGAAGAUUCAACACUUUCCUGGAGAGGUUACACUGUGUGGAAUACUGGGUUGAAAACAGCUAAAAGGAGGGAAGAUUCCACAAUAUUCACCUUUGUCUCAGCACUUUCUCUGCCAGUGAAUGAAUCCUCAAACACAGAUUCAGCUACUGGUGUAAGCUGAAAAUUCUAUAUUCUAGACAUCUCUACUGUCCAAAUGAAAACAUAUCCAAAAAGAAAAAGGGCCCUGCUGUCUGGCAGCCUGUAGCUUCAAGGCAAGCUCUUGUUCAUGAAGCAUUAUCUGGAAUGUGACUGCAUGCUGCCCAGGCAUCGAAAUAAUACAGCAGAUACUCAACAAAACUGAUUUUUGAC
Long non-coding RNA from Passer domesticus (house sparrow), 665 nucleotides. RefSeq lists it as uncharacterized. The record is from RefSeq and is a predicted model, not a curated record. The transcript has 4 exons. Lineage: Eukaryota; Metazoa; Chordata; Aves; Passeriformes; Passeridae.